RNAcentral lists this unclassified non-coding RNA (316 nucleotides) under Hevea brasiliensis (rubber tree). The record is from RNAcentral. Lineage: Eukaryota; Viridiplantae; Streptophyta; Magnoliopsida; Malpighiales; Euphorbiaceae.
CUCGCUUAAUCGCCUUCAUUGUUAAUUGUCCGAUUCAUUUCAUGACAAGAUUAAGCGAGCAUUCAGUAUGAGUAGGAGGUAUUAUUAAUCCUGUCAUGAAAUGAAUCGGACAAUUUCAUCAUCACCAUGCUCGCUUAAUCGCCUUCAUUGUUAAUUGUUAAAUAAUAAAAAAUAUGGAGAGAAAAGUGAAGAUGAAACCAUCAGAACAUCGGAUCAUUUUAUCAUCGGCGACACUUGACGUGUCUCAGACGACCGUCGUGAGAAAUUUUAAUCCAAUUUCAUCACUUGAUUUCACAACCCCACAAAAUCUUCAAAA